GAACGCUGGCGGCGUGCCUAAUACAUGCAAGUCGAGCGGACAGAAGGGAGCUUGCUCCCGGAUGUUAGCGGCGGACGGGUGAGUAACACGUGGGUAACCUGCCUGUAAGACUGGGAUAACUCCGGGAAACCGGAGCUAAUACCGGAUAGUUCCUUGAACCGCAUGGUUCAAGGAUGAAAGACGGUUUCGGCUGUCACUUACAGAUGGACCCGCGGCGCAUUAGCUAGUUGGUGGGGUAAUGGCUCACCAAGGCGACGAUGCGUAGCCGACCUGAGAGGGUGAUCGGCCACACUGGGACUGAGACACGGCCCAGACUCCUACGGGAGGCAGCAGUAGGGAAUCUUCCGCAAUGGACGAAAGUCUGACGGAGCAACGCCGCGUGAGUGAUGAAGGUUUUCGGAUCGUAAAGCUCUGUUGUUAGGGAAGAACAAGUGCGAGAGUAACUGCUCGC
RNAcentral lists this ribosomal RNA (451 nucleotides) under Bacillus sp. GR1-18. Its description in RNAcentral is "bacterial SSU rRNA". It matches the Rfam family "Bacterial small subunit ribosomal RNA", at positions 31 to 472 of the family's 1533-position model. Lineage: Bacteria; Bacillati; Bacillota; Bacilli; Caryophanales; Bacillaceae. The record is from RNAcentral.